RNAcentral lists this ribosomal RNA (492 nucleotides) under uncultured bacterium. Its description in RNAcentral is "partial 16S ribosomal RNA". It matches the Rfam family "Bacterial small subunit ribosomal RNA", at positions 29 to 507 of the family's 1533-position model. The record is from RNAcentral.
AGUGAACGCUGGCGGUAGGCCUAACACAUGCAAGUCGAACGGCAGCACAGUAAGAGUUUGCUCUUACGGGUGGCGGGUGGCGGACGGGUGAGGAAUACAUCGGAAUCUACUUUUUCUGGGGGGAUAACGUAGGGAAACUUACGCUAAUACCGCAUACGACCUACGGGUGAAAGCAGGGGAUCUUCAGACUUUUCGCGAUUGAAUUAGCUGAUGUCGGAUUAGCUAGUUGGCGGGGUAAAGGCCCACCAAGGCGACGCAACGUAGCUGGACUGAGAGGAUGGUCAGCCACACUGGAACUGAGACACGGUCCAGAAUCCUACGGGGGGGAGCAGUGGGGAAUAUUGGACAAUGGGCGGAAGCCUGAUCCAACCAUACCGCGUGGGGGAAGAAGGCCCUCCGGUUGGAAAGCCCUUUUGUUGGGAAAGAAAAGCAGCAGGUUAAUACCCCGCUGUUCUGACGGUACCCAAAGAAUAAGCACCGGCUAACUUCGUG